CUAUUUUUUUUUUUAAUUGAUUCUUGUUUUGUCGGGUACAAGAAAAUAAUUGUGCAAAAUUUCAUCUUGAUCCAAUAACACAAACUUUUUACCAGAAAGACAGAGUGAGUUGAUAUAAGCUUUAUUAAUAAGAAAGCUGUGGGGAGUAUUUAAUAAUAAACAUUUUUUUGGUCACCAGCUAGCUUCAAGAAUAUAAAUCUAUCACAACCCUUUUUUUGUGUAAGUUUGGAAAGUUCCUUCACAAAUGAAGAUUAUUAUGUCCUGGCCCAAACCUUCUUCAGGAUGGCAGAGGAUGGUAGUGGUCUGGCUCAAAGUCAAAACAAAUAUCAUGACAGUCUGAACACAAAGCACAUAACCAGCAGCUGUAGUAACAUGUUAUCAAUAUCAUUAACCCAUGACUGAGCUUGUCCAAUGCAAUCUUUAUUAUUAAAUGUAACAAAGAAAUGCAUGCGCUCGUCACAUCAUUAGAAGACACAAACAGAAACAUUUCUAAAGAUUUAAUAGACAUCCAACAAAACUUAAAUAAUAAUUUUGUAUUAUCCUUGAGGAUCUUUGUCUUACAAUUAUGCAUCACACAUAAUAAUACUUAUAAGCAGACAAACCAUAAUUUCAAACCACAGUUUCUCUUGUACAUUACAUGUGAAGUACUAACUGCAUGCCACCAUUACGCAGUGCCAUCUGGAUGUAUCAGUCUUUUGAUUUUAUAUCAUGAUCGAAUAUGCAGUCCCUGGUGGUAUAAUCGACCAUUAGGACAAGUGCUCUUAGAUUCCCACUCUAGGAACUCAUCAAAUUCUUUUUAAUACAUUUGAGCAUCUUGUAUUAUUUUUUACAAAUCUAAAUACUAUGCUAUUGUCUGAAACAUUUUCUUAUUUGUUCCUCAAUCAGUCUUAUAAAGUUGGUAGAAACAGAAGUUGGCAAAUGAGGAUUUUUCCAAAAAGUUUACUGGAAAUGAUUUUGAAAUCAAUUUUGUAGACUUGAAUGGCAUUCAAAUGAUAUGUGGACUCACUGGAAUGUGUGUUUAAGUCAACAAUAACAAUAAAACUGUUGGGUCCCUUGAAUAUUAAAUAAUGUCAGAUCUAGAGUUGCAUGAUAAGGUAUAACAAAUAAACAUAUGCAGUAUAAAUGCAAAACUAGGGUAUUUGUACAAUUUUUACCCUAUACCAAAAAAAACAGCAAACACAGGGGUGCCACCCAUGAGACCAAGUAAACCCUGAAACCCGAAUUUCCAAAUUUUACAAACCCUGAAAUCAUACACCCCAAACUUUACCAACCCUGAAACGUACCGCAUAUACAAUUUAAGCACCAAAAUUGUAUGAAAGAAGAACAGUAUUAAAUUACUACCUAGAUCUAUAUCAUAAUAUGCCCCCCAUGUUUUAAAUAUGUAAUUAGUAAGCCUAUCAUUAUAAUAAAUAGAGUUUGUGUGUAUUUAUUGAUAAAGCUUGUAAUACAAGAUAAGAGGAUUUAGUACAAUUUUAUAUUACCAAUGUUUGUAAACCCCCCCCCCCCCC
This is a non-coding RNA of Biomphalaria pfeifferi, 1508 nucleotides long. The record is from the annotation of a GenBank genome assembly. NCBI's taxonomy places the organism in Eukaryota, Metazoa, Mollusca, Gastropoda, Planorbidae.